GACAAUCUGGCCGAGUGGUCCAAGGCGCUAGCUUCAGGCGCUAGUCCUCCGGGGCGUGGGUUCGAAUCCCACGGUUGUCA
This is a non-coding RNA of Chloropicon primus, 80 nucleotides long. NCBI's taxonomy places the organism in Eukaryota, Viridiplantae, Chlorophyta, Chloropicophyceae, Chloropicales, Chloropicaceae. The record is from the annotation of a GenBank genome assembly.